RNAcentral lists this transfer-messenger RNA (353 nucleotides) under bacterium. RNAcentral describes it as "NIOZ-UU106 sp014384545 Standard tmRNA". It matches the Rfam family "transfer-messenger RNA". Rfam says of the family: Bacterial tmRNA, also known as 10Sa RNA or SsrA, is named for its dual tRNA and mRNA-like properties. Its role is to liberate the mRNA from a stalled ribosome. The record is from RNAcentral. RNAcentral also lists the same sequence under 1 other name.
GGGGGCGAUUUGGAAUCGACGAGAGUUGGAACGGUCGCACCGCAAGCAGGUUUGUCGUCAGCCUUAAUGGCGACAAAAAUAAAGGCCAACAACAGCGCCUACGCUCUCGCCGCCUAGUUUCUAGGCUGGCUCUAAGGAGCGCCCCGGCAUCUGAUGCCAGAAGGAAGCCAAGGGGUUCAUAUACUGGCUGUGGGGACGGAGAUCGCCUUCCGACCUGUCCUCAAGAUUUAGGAAGGUGCAACCGGAGCCCAGCUGUCCGUGGCUCGCUAACCGGUACAACCACGGACUAAGCUUGUAGAAGUGUAGCCUUGGAAAAUGAUCGGACCCGGGUUCAAAUCCCGGCGCCUCCACCA